Molecule: transfer RNA, 72 nt
Filed under: Aedes aegypti (yellow fever mosquito)
Lineage: Eukaryota; Metazoa; Arthropoda; Insecta; Diptera; Culicidae
Rfam family: tRNA
About the family: Transfer RNA (tRNA) molecules are approximately 80 nucleotides in length.
Source: Rfam by way of RNAcentral
GGCUCGGUAGCUUAGUUGGUAAAGCGCUCGUCUAGCAUACAAGCGUCGUGGGCUCGAAUCGCAGCCGAGCAA